This 496-nucleotide ribosomal RNA is filed under the name uncultured bacterium. RNAcentral describes it as "partial 16S ribosomal RNA". It matches the Rfam family "Bacterial small subunit ribosomal RNA", at positions 28 to 506 of the family's 1533-position model. The record is from RNAcentral.
GAUGAACGCUGGCGGCGUGCCUAAUACAUGCAAGUCGAGCGAACGGACGAGAAGCUUGCUUCUCUGAUGUUAGCGGCGGACGGGUGAGUAACACGUGGAUAACCUACCUAUAAGACUGGGAUAACUUCGGGAAACCGGAGCUAAUACCGGAUAAUAUUUUGAACCGCAUGGUUCAAAAGUGAAAGACGGUCUUGCUGUCACUUAUAGAUGGAUCCGCGCUGCAUUAGCUAGUUGGUAAGGUAACGGCUUACCAAGGCAACGAUGCAUAGCCGACCUGAGAGGGUAAACGGCCAACUUGGAGCGGGGCAACGCGCACGGCUACUACGGGGGCCAAGUAGAGGCAAUACUCCCAGCUUGGCCGACGCUCGAGGGAGCGACCCCGGGGGCGGCAACAGGGUUAUCGGAACGAAAAAAUCUGUUUAUCGGACAAAAAGUAUGUUUAAGUACGUCUGCAGAAAUUGACGUUACCUAAGCAGAAAGCCGCGGCUAACCACGC